Cygnus olor (mute swan) is the source of this 1364-nucleotide long non-coding RNA. RefSeq lists it as uncharacterized. The transcript is spliced from 2 exons. NCBI's taxonomy places the organism in Eukaryota, Metazoa, Chordata, Aves, Anseriformes, Anatidae. The record is from RefSeq and is a predicted model, not a curated record.
CUUCUCCAUCUAAAGGCUUAUUUACACUUGUGAGAAUUCAGUACAUUUGAAAUCUCUACCCUUCUGUUACAUUUAGUUGAAAUUGGCACAUGAGUUCAAAACUAGUUAAGAAACACACCUGCUACAUAAACACGUACAUGCACAUACACAACAUACUGCGCAAUGGCAAAAGUCUUAUUCUGGUAAGAGACAGGGUUUAAAAAGCAGUGUGUGCACAGGAACAUUACCUCUUUUACCCCCUCCCAAAAUCCAGACCUGAAUUCACAGCAGCAUUUUACACCCAUGUUCCCAGAGGGCAUCCACAGCCAUGUUCAGGGCUGGGAUGAGGACAGAAAGCAGGGACCAAAUGUCCUCUGACAUCCCAGGCCAUAGGGCUGGGAGCACAAGGGACACGCUCACCUCCCUCCAUCCAUACCUUGGUGUUUACUCAUAGACAGGAUAUUAUGGGUUAGGGAUUGUAGUCACCUCCCAGAUCCCUUAGAAGAACAAGUUUUUGGGGGACACGUGCUGGAGGACACGGACCACAGCCACCGAGACCCCAGCCCCAGACGGAUGCUGGCUCUCCCCAUACAAACCCUCCUGGUGUACUCCAUUGACAAUCCUUCACAGCCACCAAGGCAUGCUCAUCCCCACUAGCUUUCACAACGGGGCUUGCCAACCUCCACAAUGAUCUACGCGCAGUGAUUUGUGAUGUACUGAAACACAGUUUACAUUGCAAAAAGCUCUAAUAUGUCCCUGGAAAGCAAUUAAGAGAGAGUUGCAUAUGAGCGUUAAGAGUUUUGCUUCGUGAGCAGAUGUCCUCUUGGCGGAUGCACCUCCGACCCCUCGCUCCAGCAAGCCUUGCUCCACCUUGGAGUUGCAGCAAGGAGAGGGGCCGUCCUGCUCCUGCUUAGCCAGGCUGACUUUUACGAGGCCUUUCUCCGGAAAUAAGAAGUAUGGUAAAGCGAGGUGAUCUUCCCCCGCGGCUGCUGGUGUGGAUUAUGGAGCUGGCAGCAGCAGGAACGCAUUAAGGAAAGCUCCCAGCAAUGGCUUUCCAGAAAGGUCUUCGGAAGCCUCCCCCUGCUGCCUUCAUGCCGGCAGCAUCAUUUUUCAAGGCCCUCUCCCCGUCCUGGCGGGACGCGGAUACGGGAGGCUUUGUGCAGACCUGGUGCCCGGGCAGGAGGCGCCUCUGCUGCAGCCGCAGCCCCGUUGGGUUGGAUCCCAUCCCUGCAGGCAUGGGGUGAAAUGAUGCUGGUGGCAGUCCCAAACAUCUGGGAGUCUCACAAGACCCAAAUAGGAACCUUACAACCCGUCACAUCCUAUUUGCAGACAAGGCACAGAAGAAGUUGCCUACAGCUGACAAAUAAACCUUGGAGUGUCAAUGA